GGGCGAAUGGCGCAGUUGGUAGCGCGCUGAUUUUGCAUAUCAGAGGCCCAGGGUUCAAAUCCCUGUUCGUCCA
Molecule: non-coding RNA, 73 nt
Organism: Vanrija pseudolonga
Lineage: Eukaryota; Fungi; Basidiomycota; Tremellomycetes; Trichosporonales; Trichosporonaceae
Source: the annotation of a RefSeq genome assembly